Molecule: ribosomal RNA, 373 nt
Filed under: uncultured organism
Description: partial 16S ribosomal RNA
Rfam family: Bacterial small subunit ribosomal RNA
Source: RNAcentral
GUAGGUGGCAAGCGUUGUCCGGAAUUAUUGGGGCGUAAAGCGCGCGCAGGCGGUUCUUUAAGUCUGAUGUGAAAGCCCACGGGCUCAACUGUGGAGGGUCAUUGGAAACUGGAGAACUUGAGUACAGAAGAGGAAAGCGGAAUUCCACGUGUAGCGGUGAAAUGCGUAGAGAUGUGGAGGAACACCAGUGGCGAAGGCGGCUUUCUGGUCUGUAACUGACGCUGAGGCGCGAAAGCGUGGGGAGCAAACAGGAUUAGAUACCCUGGUAGUCCACGCCGUAAACGAUGAGUGCUAAGUGUUAGGGGGUUUCCGCCCCUUAGUGCUGCAGCUAACGCAUUAAGCACUCCGCCUGGGGAGUACGGCCGCAAGGCUG